Molecule: long non-coding RNA, 1141 nt
Filed under: Cyanistes caeruleus (blue tit)
Lineage: Eukaryota; Metazoa; Chordata; Aves; Passeriformes; Paridae
Description: lncRNA (ENSCCEG00000009099.1)
Source: RNAcentral
CAUGCUCAGAUGGAAGGAGAGAUGAUGAGCACCCCCAUAAUACACUGGUGAUUUUUCUACUGUUGUCUCCUCAGUGAAGUUAUUUGCACUCAGGAAAUUAGAGAAAUCAUGAUAACCAAGGCAUCUUGCUAUACUUGGAUGAAGUCUGGAUUGAGGGCUUACGUUGCAGUACUUCCCUGGAGAAAAGCUGUAGCAGCAAUGGAAGAGGAGUGUGGCUACAAGAUGUGUGGAGAGCAGAAUGCUGCAAGGAAUGAAGAAAAUAAGAAUUGGAGUAAAUGGAGUGAAGGCUGUAUGGGCUGGUCACUAGUGUUCACUGAAGGGAAUGUUAUGGGAUCUCCUGUGAGCUCUAAUCAAACCUAUUGAGCUGACAGAGGCUGGUCCAGCAUGGAGAUGCAGAGGAGGGCUCUCCAGAGGAGGGCUCACCCUGAGCCUCUGCAGCAGUGAUGAUUGCAUUGCUGGUGCUGGGAACCCAGGAAUGCUCACACCAGGCACAGGAAAACAGGUAUUGAUAGAUUUACACUGCCACCCCUUCUCCUUCAGGCCACUACAGAGGCCCAGGAGGCCCAGACCUGCAGAGAGAUGGAAGCCAAACCGAGCUGCUCUGCAUCACCUCCACUGGUGAUGGUGACUGGAGCAGGGUUUCAGUAUUUUGCCUUUGAGAAUAGCAGGCUGUGUCAUUUUAACUUCCAAAGAAGUGAGCUCUGAGUGUCUGGAAUUAUUCCAAAUACAGGAAAAAUUGCAGUGGUACAAAGAUACCUCAGCAGACACUGACACCUGAUCCAUGCUGUGCCUUGUGGUGUUUGGAGACCUUUCUGCAACCUGGAGGGUGUCACACACAGCUCCUUUGGGCACGGGGAGAAGCCACAGCCUUGGCAGAAGCAGAAGAGUGAGUUACCCACUGCCCCUUGCUUCUGCUCUGCUUUUGGCUCAGCUCUGCCAACAGCAUGUGGGAAAGUUAAAGGAGAAAUAUUUAUUUUAAUAUUCAGAUGUUCUCAUUCGCACUUACGUAUGCGUGUGUGUGGACACCACACAUAUGUAACAUGAAUGUGUUUGUUUAUCAGUGAGUUUCCUGGUUCUCCAACAGCUCUGUCUUCUUAUCUCCACAAAUAAAUAACAAUAUUAGACCUGAAUUCUAAAUAUA